Long non-coding RNA from Carassius carassius (crucian carp), 507 nucleotides. RefSeq lists it as uncharacterized. NCBI's taxonomy places the organism in Eukaryota, Metazoa, Chordata, Actinopteri, Cypriniformes, Cyprinidae. The transcript is spliced from 3 exons. The record is from RefSeq and is a predicted model, not a curated record.
UGACCAGCACUCUCUUCCAUCCACAUUACCCACAACAGAGAUGCCCUUAAGCAAGGCACAAAACCCCUGAUUGCUCCCGGGUACUGCAACAGAAAUGGCUGCCCACUGCUCCAGUAACCUCCCUGCCCCCUCCAAAACAAGCUUAACCAAAGGCCGGGCAGCUACCUCUGUGCAACCAAACAUCUUCAGUUCCAGCUGAGGCUUCAAAUGAUUAGCAAUCAAGCAACCACCCCUCAAGGCUCGGAUCUGUAGCAAUAAUACCCGGGCAAACCUAAUUACCUAAAGAGAUCAACCUUCCCCCUCUACACACUUCACGCUCCCAUAUCAGGGUGCUACAAUUCAUUACUGCGAACAGCUGCACACAUGCACCGAAGCAAUUAAAACAAUGAGACGCUUUCCUUGAGAAGAUUUCAUCAGUGUGAAGCGACACAUGAAGGUUACUACAUUUAGGCAAGCAAUGUCUGUGCAGACAGAUUUUCAUGAAGAAAUAAAAGGCUUUUUGUUCCU